UACGGGGGGGGCAAGCGUUGUUCGGAAUUACUGGGCGUAAAGGGCGCGUAGGCGGCCAGACAAAGUCGAGCGUUAAAUUCCAGGGCUUAACCCUGGGCUGUUGCUCGAUACUAGUCGGCUAGAGUGUGGAAGAGGGUGCUGGAAUUCUCGGUGUAGCGGUGAAAUGCGUAGAUAUCGGGAGGAACACCAGUGGCGAAGGCGGGCACCUGGGCUAACACUGACGCUGAUGCGCGAAAGCUAGGGGAGCAAACAGG
RNAcentral lists this ribosomal RNA (254 nucleotides) under uncultured bacterium. RNAcentral describes it as "partial 16S ribosomal RNA". It matches the Rfam family "Bacterial small subunit ribosomal RNA", at positions 524 to 776 of the family's 1533-position model. The record is from RNAcentral.